UCUCACUUUACCGCCCUUGGUAGAGUGCCAUGAUAUCACAGGACUCACAGCAACCUCCAGCUCUUGGGCUUCCGCGAUUCUCUCGCCUCAGCCUCCAGAGCAGCUGGGACUACAGGCGCCCGCCACAACACCCGGCUAUUUUUUUUGUUGCAGUUUGGCCAGGGCUGGGUUUGAACCCGCCACCCUCGGCAUAUGGGGCCGGCACCCUACCCACUGAGCCACAGGUGCUGCCCGACCUUCAUGGUUUUGAGAUAUGUCCACAUUGAGUUAUAGAGAUCUAGUUCCUUGCUUGCAGAGUGCUAUGGUAUAAUAUAUGGUUUUUUAAUAUUGAGUACUUUGACGGACAUUAGGUUGUUUUCAUUAGAGUGUUAAUGCUACCAUAAACACUCUCGUACUUAUCUCUUCAUGUGCAUGUAUUUCUCCAAGGUUAAUAUCUGAAAGGAGAAAUUCUCAGUCAUAGUAUAAUCACGUUUUAAAUUUUGAUAGAUAUUCCAAAAGAGUUGAUCUCAAUUUCUACUUUUAGCAACAAUGUAUGAGCAAAACUAUUUCUCCACAUUCCCCCUUAAACAGUCAAGCUUCCAUUUAGCUCUCGAGCUGCUAUUUAUAACAAUAAUAAUACUUCCUUUGGAUUGUGCAUAACAUCCUUGUCCCAUUUUUUUGAGCUCAUUUUGAUGUAUUAGUGGAUGAGCUUGUGUCAGCUAUUGUCACUAUGAAUCAGUGACCAAUUGGCCAUAUACAGAGUGUGUGUAAAUGUCUAUUUUUAUGAGACAGAGUCUCACUCUGUGCCCUGGGUGGAGUGUUGUGGCAGCAUAGCUCACAGCAAUCUUAAACUCUUGGGCUCCAGCGAUCCUCCUGCCUAAGCCUCCUGAGUAGCUGGGAAUACAGGUGCCUGUAAAAACAGCUGCAAUACAGGUGCCUAGCUAGUUUUUAUAUUUUUAGUAGAGACGGAGUCUCACUCUUGUUCAAUCUGGCCUCAAACUCCUGAGCUCAAGGGAUCCGCCCAUUUCCACCUCCCAGAGUGCUAGUUUUACAGGCAUACGCCACUGCACCCUGCCUCGUGUGUAUAUAUACAUAUAUAUACAUAAUGGUGUGUAUGUACACACACGUAUGUGUGUAUGUAUCUAUACACACACACAUAUGCUUAGCAACAAUCAUAAUUAGGAGGCUGUUAUAAAGAUGAUUGUAAAAGUAGAUUGAGGCUGGAAAACUAAAAACAAUUUAAGUCACCAAAUCACAUUGUCAGCAUUUCUCCUGGGUCUCCCUUAGGAAGGCUUCAUGGAAAGAGAACUAGAUUAGAAGCCUAGGCUUUUACUAGAGGAAUAAAGUAGCUCUGAGCCCUAUGAUGUGUUGACAGCAUCCUCAAUAAAAACUUAGCUUCACUGACUUUUCCACACAUUUCAGUUCUGCACCUCAUGUUUAAAAGCGUAAGCUGGCCAGGCACGGUGGCUCACACCUCUAAUCCCAGAACGUUGGGAAGGUUGCUUGAGGCCAGGGAUUUAAAACCAGCCUGGGCACCAUAGCAAGUUGGCAUCGCCAUAAAAAAUAAAAAAUUUAGCCAGGGAUGGUGGUGCAUGGCUAUAGUCUCAGCUACUUGAGAGGAUGAGGUGGGAGGAUUGUUUGAGUCCAGGAGCUUGAGGUUGCAGUAAGCUAUGAGAGCUGUCACUGCACUGUAGCCUGGGUGACAGAGAGAGAAUCUAUCUCGAAAGAAAGAAAAGAAAAGAAAAGAAAAGAA
Molecule: long non-coding RNA, 1732 nt
Organism: Nycticebus coucang (slow loris)
Lineage: Eukaryota; Metazoa; Chordata; Mammalia; Primates; Lorisidae
Exons: 2
Source: RefSeq, a predicted model, not a curated record